Molecule: long non-coding RNA, 1795 nt
Organism: Thunnus maccoyii (southern bluefin tuna)
Lineage: Eukaryota; Metazoa; Chordata; Actinopteri; Scombriformes; Scombridae
Exons: 3
Source: RefSeq, a predicted model, not a curated record
UGCAUUUUAAUGACGUAUAACGUUAUUUUCACAUGCACAGCUGGCACAACUACUGUCCGCUGAAAAAAAACAAAAACAAAUACAGUGAAAGUGAAAUGGAGGAGGAAGCCUCAAGCCAGAGGACACCUGCCGAGGUUACCUGUCUUUUAAGCCUUUGGAGUGUAGAGUCGGUGCAGGCCAAAAUAUAAGAUUUACACCGAAACGGAUCAGUUUAUGAAGAAAUUUCAGCCGCAAUGGGAGAGCAAGGUUUUAAACGCUCAUGGCUACAGUGUCAGUACAAAAUCAAGAGUUUAAAAGCAAAAUACAAGGAGGUCAAAGACCUCAACAGCAAGAGUGGAAAUGGUUGUAUUAGAUGCCCCUUCUACGACCACAUGGAAGUCAUUUUAGGUGACAAACAUAGCUGCUGAAAACCUGAGAUACUAGAUAGCUCCCGACAAGAAGCAGCAUAGUCAGUGGACGGGGAAGACAUGAAGUGUGAUAACAUUACUGACAUUUGCCUUUAACCAGAUGAGCUUCCUGACACUCCAAAGACCACCUCAUCUAGUGAAACAAGUGCCUCAUCAAGUGUGACCACCAAAGAGGCGACAUCAAGGGUCUAAACACCAACACCUGGCACACACCAACAGGAGCAUAGUGGAAUUGGUGCCUCUACAGUACGCAAGAGGCAGAAAAACAAAAUGGAAUCCACAGUGGAGAUGUUUGGCCAGAAGUUUAAAGAUUCCUUCUCCCAGACAAAUGACAUUGAGCUUCAGCUUAAAUUGCAAGCAGUGCAGCACACCCACAAGUUAAGGAUGAUGACCCUGUUUACACAGUUCCUUGGAGGAAGACAGUCUCACCAGCCUGAUAUGCCACCCCUUCACUCGGGCCAUACCACCAAGUCAAGCUCAUGGUCAAGAUUAUGCCCGCCCUGCUCCCUUUCACCCGGAUCAUGCCUCUUUUUCACCAAAAUGAUGCCCACCCUCUUCCUCCCCUUUACCAGGAUUAUGCCUCUGUUGGUCCCUCACCAUUCACACCCUCCAUUCUUUCAAGAGGAUCAUACACACCUUUUCCUCAUGAUACCCAACCUUCACCCCCUCACUAGGCCAACAUCCACUCUCAGCCAAUCAUUCCUGCCCACCCCCCUCCUUUUUUUCUUUCACCUGCCUAAUUCAAUAUUGUUCAGGAUUAAUACUCAGGCAGUUUAGAAAUGAGAAUGGUUUGUAGUUUAUGUACAUUUAAGGUGAGCCCUGAUUUCUUAUGUGUUAACACUGUAAUGUUGUAUACCUUGUAGGUAGUGGCGGGCAAUAUGACCUAUCACCUUUUUUGUUUACUUUAUAUUCAGGCAAUUUAAAGUUCUGAAUGGCCUGUGGUUUAUAUACAUUUAAGAUGAGCCCUGUUUUCUCAUAUGUUAACACUGUAAUGUUGUACACCUUGUAGGUAGGGGUGGGUGAUAUGACCUCUCUAUCACCUUUCUUAAAUUUAAAUAAAAAUUAAUAUUCAGACAAUUUUAUGUUCAGAAUGGCCUGUUUUCUUUUAUAUUAAGGGGGAACAGUGAAAGGUGUUAGUGGCCUACAUGCAUUUGAGCUUUCUCCUGUUAACUAGAGGAGUUAUGUUAGCCUAGUCUUCUUGUUAUUUGGAUGUUUACAUAACAGUCUUGAAUUGAACCCAGGACACUGCAAGCACAAAACAUGCACCCUAGCGUUUUCCAAACUGUCACUUAACACUUAAGAAGUGUGUCUUGUUUUGCUUUUAGCUUGUUUCCUUCUGCUAAACAGCCAAUCUGGAUGUUGAAUGUCAUAUAUGCCUUUGUAUUUGU